CUGCACACUGUCUGUUAAUGACUUGACUCUGCGAUUAGUCAAGUGCAUUAGUGAGAUUAUUGAAGUAUCGGAGUUUCCUUUCCAGUUUCUGCUCUACUGUUUUCAAUGCUUCUGUCACCUUACAAAGAGAAGUACAGUUAACUCGUGGUGCUACAAGCUUCACUGGGCUCCAUUAUUCCUCACUACAAGUCUAUUAAUACAACAGUGAGUUGUGCUAA
Molecule: non-coding RNA, 218 nt
Organism: Myodes glareolus (Bank vole)
Lineage: Eukaryota; Metazoa; Chordata; Mammalia; Rodentia; Cricetidae
Source: RefSeq, a predicted model, not a curated record